ACAAUGUGGCUACUGAGCACUUUCAUCCUGACGGCUGGUUUUUCUUGCAGUUCUGCACAAGACUUGCAGCAGACCCCCAUAUCCAUCACCAAGGCAGAAAGCAAAACAGUGCUAAUCAACUGUCAUGUCUCCGAUCCUGAUUUUAACAACGUUUUCAUUCACUGGUACAGAAAGAGGCCAAACACAGCUCCCAAGCGCAUUGCCUACAUGUCCUCCCGGCUUUUCCUUGAAAACAAGUCUGAUGAUGGGAAAUUUAGUAUUGAGAAGGAUGCCACCAAAUCUGUCUGCACCCUGACAGUGAGCAAAGGAACUCUGCAAGACUCCGCUCCCUACUACUGUGCUAGGUGGGAUGCGCAGCAGUAG
Non-coding RNA from Grus americana (Whooping crane), 363 nucleotides. NCBI's taxonomy places the organism in Eukaryota, Metazoa, Chordata, Aves, Gruiformes, Gruidae. The record is from the annotation of a RefSeq genome assembly.